GACGAACGCUGGCGGCGUGCCUAAUACAUGCAAGUUGAGCGCUGAAGGUUGGUACUUGUUCCAACUGGCUGAGCAGCGAACGGGUGAGUAACGCGUGGGGAAUCUGCCUUUGAGCGGGGGACAACAUUUGGAAACGAAUGCUAAUACCGCAUAACAACUUUAAACACAAGUUUUAAGUUUGAAAGAUGCAAUUGCAUCACUCAAAGAUGAUCCCGCGUUGUAUUAGCUAGUUGGUGAGGUAAAGGCUCACCAAGGCGAUGAUACAUAGCCGACCUGAGAGGGUGAUCGGCCACAUUGGGACUGAGACACGGCCCAGACUCCUACGGGAGGCAGCAGUAGGGAAUCUUCGGCAAUGGACGAAAGUCUGACCGAGCAACGCCGCGUGAGUGAAGAAGGUUUUCGGAUCGUAAAGCUCUGUUGGUAGAGAAGAACGUUGGUGAGAGUGGAAAGCUCAUCAAGUGACGGUAACUACCCAGAAAGGGACGGCUAACUACGUG
Molecule: ribosomal RNA, 497 nt
Filed under: uncultured bacterium
Lineage: Bacteria
Description: partial 16S ribosomal RNA
Rfam family: Bacterial small subunit ribosomal RNA
Source: RNAcentral